AUACAGGAGGGUGCGAGCGUUAAUCGGAAUUACUGGGCGUAAAGGGCACGUAGGUGGGUGCUUAAAGUCGAGAUGUGAAAUCCUCGAGCUUAACUUGAGAACUGCAUUUGAUACUGGGCACCUAGAGUUUGGUAGAGGGAAGUGGAAUUUCCGAUGUAGCGGUGAUAUGCAUAGAUAUCGGAAGGAACACCAGUGGCGAAGGCGGCUUCCUGGGACCAAUAACUGACGACUGAAGGUGCGAAAAGCGUGGGUAGCAAACAGGAUUAGAUACCCUGGUAGUCCACGCCGUAAACGAUAGAGAACUAGGCGUUGGGAUUUAUCUCAGUGCCGUAGCUAACGCAUUAAGUUCUCCG
RNAcentral lists this ribosomal RNA (353 nucleotides) under uncultured Coxiellaceae bacterium. RNAcentral's name for it is "bacterial SSU rRNA". It matches the Rfam family "Bacterial small subunit ribosomal RNA", at positions 523 to 871 of the family's 1533-position model. The record is from RNAcentral. Lineage: Bacteria; Pseudomonadati; Pseudomonadota; Gammaproteobacteria; Legionellales; Coxiellaceae.